RNAcentral lists this ribosomal RNA (216 nucleotides) under Glomeromycotina sp. RNAcentral's name for it is "partial small subunit ribosomal RNA". The stretch from base 40 to 216 matches the Rfam family "Eukaryotic small subunit ribosomal RNA", at positions 686 to 864 of the family's 1831-position model. Lineage: Eukaryota; Fungi; Glomeromycota. The record is from RNAcentral.
GGGUCAGUAGGUUGGUCGUGCCACCGGUACGUACUGGUCUCACUGAUUCCUCCUUCCUGAAGAACCGUAAUGCCAUUAAUUUGGUGUUGCGGGGAAACAGGACUGUUACUUUGAGAAAAUUAGAGUGUUUAAAGCAAGCUAACGCUUGAAUACAUUAGCAUGGAAUAAUGAAAUAGGACGAUCGAUCCUAUUUUGUUGGUUUCUAGAAUUGACGUA